GAGGGAGAAAUUAUUUCGAAUAAGUUUUCAGUCAAACGCAUGUGUGAUCAUGACUAUUUAAUAUUUUUGGGAAGCAGACUGCCUUCAUACUGACACUUGAACGGGCCACACUUGAACAUUGAAAACACUUUUACAGGAUGAGACAACGACCAUGCUUGUAGUGAUUGGGUUUUUAGAUUAAAUCAGCUUCUUGGGAAGAACACUUAAUUUUUCAACAAAUCUGGAGGCCUGCGAGAAGAAUUUAUUUGAUUUAAAUCGAUAUGGACGAUACUGUUACAUGUACCAUUUACACGAUUGACAUCUCUUUGCAUUUUAUGCAAUACAAUGGCAGAUAUUAGAAAGGUGAAAUGUGUGCUCAAUGGUGGAUUGGAAAAAGAGGUUGUAGCUGACAAAUCAAAAGGAAAAAGAAGAUUGAAACGUGAAAGAAAAUCAGAGCAAGCAAGUUCGUGUAGUUAUAAGCAGCCAAAAGACUCUCAGCAUGUUAUACCGGAAGAAUGUACUUCAGAAAUUUAUGAGAAAACUGUAUGUUUAUUAAUUGUAUAACCCAUAAAAAUUUGUUUGGAUAAAAAAUGUUAUUCCCUCAGUAAAAUUAUAUGUCAGCAUUGAAAUCCUUGAAGAGAAAGGCCAUAAUAUGACCAAAAUUAUAUUUUUAAGGAGUUGGUGCAUUAAUAAGCUAUUUAGGCCCAAAAUAUAACAGUUUUUCAAAAUUGUUCAAAUGUAAACUUUAAGCUUUUAAGUCAUGCUAAAUUAAUGAAAUCUUCAAAAUGUUUGCAUUUUGGUUAAUUUGUGUUCAUUCAUUAGAUUUAAUUGAAAGUCCUAUUUGUAAUUGAUGA
Mytilus trossulus (common blue mussel) is the source of this 833-nucleotide long non-coding RNA. RefSeq lists it as uncharacterized. Lineage: Eukaryota; Metazoa; Mollusca; Bivalvia; Mytilida; Mytilidae. The record is from RefSeq and is a predicted model, not a curated record. The transcript is spliced from 4 exons.